AUUGAACGCUGGCGGCAGGCCUAACACAUGCAAGUCGAACGAGUGGCGGACGGGUGAGUAAUGUCUGGGAAACUGCCCGAUGGAGGGGGAUAACUACUGGAAACGGUAGCUAAUACCGCAUACUAUCGGAUGUACCCAUAUGGGAUUAGCUAGUAGGUGGGGUAACGGCUCACCAAGGCGACGAUCACUAGCUGGUUUGCGAGGAUGACCAGCCACACUGGGACUGAGACACGGUCCAGACUCCUACGGGAGGCAGCAGUGGGGAAUAUUGCACAAUGGGCGCAAGCCUGAUGCAGCCAGGCCGCGUGUAUGAAGAAGGCCUUAGGGUUGUAAAGUACUUUCAGCGGGGAGGCGUUACCCGCAGAAGAAGCACCGGCUAACUCCGUGCCAGCAGCCGCGGUAAUAC
Molecule: ribosomal RNA, 406 nt
Filed under: uncultured bacterium
Lineage: Bacteria
Description: partial 16S ribosomal RNA
Rfam family: Bacterial small subunit ribosomal RNA
Source: RNAcentral